UAAGCUGAAGACGCCUCUUGCUGC
RNAcentral lists this non-coding RNA (24 nucleotides) under Arabidopsis thaliana (thale cress). Lineage: Eukaryota; Viridiplantae; Streptophyta; Magnoliopsida; Brassicales; Brassicaceae. The record is from RNAcentral.